AACGUCGUGAGACAGUUCGGUCCAUAUCCGGUGCAGGCGUAAGAGCAUUGAGAGGAGCCCUCCUUAGUACGAGAGGACCGGGAGGGACGCACCGCUGGUGUGCCAGUUAUCGUGCCAACGGUAAACGCUGGGUAGCUAAGUAUGGAGUGGAUAACCGCUGAAAGCAUCUAAGUGGGAAGCCCACCUCAAGAUGAGUAUUCUCAUCACGAAAGUGAGUAAGGUCACGGUAAGACUAACCGUUUAAUAGGCAUCAAGUGUAAGUAUAGUAAUAUAUGUGCUGAGAUGUGCUAACAGACCGAGGACUUG
This 306-nucleotide ribosomal RNA is filed under the name Chaetoceros neogracilis. RNAcentral's name for it is "partial Bacterial large subunit ribosomal RNA". It matches the Rfam family "Bacterial large subunit ribosomal RNA", at positions 2615 to 2925 of the family's 2925-position model. The record is from RNAcentral. Lineage: Eukaryota; Bacillariophyta; Thalassiosirophyceae; Chaetocerotales; Chaetocerotaceae.